UAUUUUUACCGUGCACUUUUCAAAAACCAUUGACGCCUCAGUAACCGUCGAAUGCGCCCGUCAAACGACAUGGCCACGUUCAGAUGCAUCUGUACCUACAGACCGAAGUUCGUGCGGACGAUGGCGCCCAUCUUCAGCGACCUGAUCGACAUGAACCGGUUGCUCUGCGUCCUCGUGAUCGCGCAGACCGUUAAAAAAGCGAUGAGGGAUUUCUGAAUGGAUGGAAAUUAGGUGGAAAGUAGAGGAAAAAGGUGGUGGUAGUUCCGGUAACUCAAAAUAUUUCGACAGUGCAACUGAAAACAUCCCCUAAAAUCGAAUAGAAUUAUAAUAGAUCGAAACACGUUUUAGUGAUAUCAUUAAUUGGAUUUGUAAAUCGACACAAUAUGAAAUAAACAUCUGAUAAAGCUUUA
This is a long non-coding RNA of Aethina tumida (small hive beetle), 410 nucleotides long. RefSeq lists it as uncharacterized. NCBI's taxonomy places the organism in Eukaryota, Metazoa, Arthropoda, Insecta, Coleoptera, Nitidulidae. The transcript has 2 exons. The record is from RefSeq and is a predicted model, not a curated record.